Molecule: long non-coding RNA, 248 nt
Filed under: Vitis vinifera (wine grape)
Lineage: Eukaryota; Viridiplantae; Streptophyta; Magnoliopsida; Vitales; Vitaceae
Description: long non-coding RNA (VVIN_LNC005220)
Source: RNAcentral
CGCUUCCCUUAUCGGCGGAAAUUAGGGUUUCGUCGGAGAUUUGACGCGAUUGCGAAACCAAACGCUGGAGGUGGACAGGGAUCGAUGUGAUACGGUGGAGAUGGCCCUUAAUGACGUCGCCGGAGAUUGUGGGUGAUGUAAGCCGGAUGGUUAGAGUUUUUCCAUCCAGGAGUUUGGCGAAGAGGUGGUAGAUCUCCAUCGUCGGGUCUGUUGGGAAGAUGAGAAAAUUUGACUGGAGAAGGGAGACG